This 339-nucleotide ribosomal RNA is filed under the name Antichiropus antius. RNAcentral describes it as "partial 12S ribosomal RNA". Lineage: Eukaryota; Metazoa; Arthropoda; Diplopoda; Polydesmida; Paradoxosomatidae. The record is from RNAcentral.
UUAUAUAAGAAAUAAAUUUACCGUAGGAGUAAAAGUUGAAAUUAAAAUAGGUUGGCGGCGUGCUGCCUGAAUAGAGGAAUCUGAAUAUGAGUCGACAGUCCGCGAAUAGCUUAUCUAGUCUAGUUGUUUGUAUAUCUCCGUUGUAAGAAGAUUUUAGAAAAAUAUUUUCUUUAGGUCAAAAAUGAUCUUAUGACAGGUCAAGGUGCAGCUUAUGAUUAGGUUGUUUUGGAUUACAAUUUUUGAAAAAAUUACGGAUUUUAAUUUGGAAUAGUUAGGAGAAGGUGGAUUUAUUAGUAAUAGAAUUUUUGUGUGGUUUUAUGAAUAAGGAAUAGUAUGUGU